ACUACGGGUGGCAGCAGUGGGGAAUAUUGCACAAUGGGGGAAACCCUGAUGCAGCGACGCCGCGUGGGUGAGGGAGUACUUCGGUAUGUAAAGCUCUAUCAGCAGGGACGAAGAAAGACGGUACCUGACUAAGAAGCCCCGGCUAACUACGUGCCAGCAGCCGCGGUAAUACGUAGGGGGCGAGCGUUAUCCGGAUUUACUGGGUGUAAAGGGAGCGUAGACGGCAAGGCAAGCCAGGAGUGAAAGGGCGGGGCCCAACCCUGGACAUGCGUUUGGAACUGUGGUGCUAGAGUGCGGGAGGGGUAGGUGGAAUUCCUGGUGUAGCGGUGAAAUGCGUAGAUAUUAGGAGGAACACCAGCGGCGAAGGCGGCUUACUGGACUGCGACUGACGUUGAGGCUCGAAAGCGUGGGGAGCAAACAGGAUUAGAUACCCCAGUAGUC
RNAcentral lists this ribosomal RNA (441 nucleotides) under uncultured bacterium. RNAcentral describes it as "partial 16S ribosomal RNA". It matches the Rfam family "Bacterial small subunit ribosomal RNA", at positions 338 to 795 of the family's 1533-position model. The record is from RNAcentral.